CCUACGGGAGGCAGCAGUGGGGAAUAUUGCACAAUGGGGGAAACCCUGAUGCAGCGACGCCGCGUGAGUGAAGAAGUAAUUCGUUAUGUAAAGCUCUAUCAGCAGGGAAGAAAAUGACGGUACCUGAGUAAGAAGCCCCGGCUAACUACGUGCCAGCAGCCGCGGUCAUACGUAGGGGGCAAGCGUAAUCCGGAUUUACUGGGUGUAAAGGGAGCGUAGACGGCAGUGCAAGUCUGGAGUGAAAGGGGGGGGCUCAACCCCCGGACUGCUCCGGAAACUGUAUAACUGGAGUGCAGGAGAGGUAAGUGGAAUUCCUGGUGUAGCGGUGAAAUGCGUAGAUAUUAGGAGGAACACUAGUGGCGAAGGCGGGUUACUGGACUGUAACUGACGUUGAGGCACGAAGGCGUGGGGAGCAAACAGGAUUAGAUACCCGAGUAGUC
This 440-nucleotide ribosomal RNA is filed under the name uncultured bacterium. RNAcentral's name for it is "partial 16S ribosomal RNA". It matches the Rfam family "Bacterial small subunit ribosomal RNA", at positions 338 to 795 of the family's 1533-position model. The record is from RNAcentral.